ACUAAGCGUACACGGUGGAUGCCCUGGCAGUCAGAGGCGAUGAAGGACGUGCUAAUCUGCGAUAAGCGUCGGUGAGGUGAUAUGAACCGUUAUAACCGGCGAUUUCCGAAUGGGGAAACCCAGUGUGUUUCGACACACUAUCAUUAACUGAAUCCAUAGGUUAAUGAGGCGAACCGGGGGAACUGAAACAUCUAAGUACCCCGAGGAAAAGAAAUCAACCGAGAUUCCCCCAGUAGCGGCGAGCGAACGGGGAGGAGCCCAGAGCCUGAAUCAGUGUGUGUGUUAGUGGAAGCGUCUGGAAAGGCGCGCGAUACAGGGUGACAGCCCCGUACACAAAAAUGCACAUAUUGUGAGCUCGAUGAGUAGGGCGGGACACGUGGUAUCCUGUCUGAAUAUGGGGGGACCAUCCUCCAAGGCUAAAUACUCCUGACUGACCGAUAGUGAACCAGUACCGUGAGGGAAAGGCGAAAAGAACCCCGGCGAGGGGAGUGAAAAAGAACCUGAAACCGUGUACGUACAAGCAGUGGGAGCCUCUUAAUGGGGUGACUGCGUACCUUUUGUAUAAUGGGUCAGCGACUUAUAUUCUGUAGCAAGGUUAACCGAAUAGGGGAGCCGAAGGGAAACCGAGUCUUAACUGGGCGUUAAGUUGCAGGGUAUAGACCCGAAACCCGGUGAUCUAGCCAUGGGCAGGUUGAAGGUUGGGUAACACUAACUGGAGGACCGAACCGACUAAUGUUGAAAAAUUAGCGGAUGACUUGUGGCUGGGGGUGAAAGGCCAAUCAAACCGGGAGAUAGCUGGUUCUCCCCGAAAGCUAUUUAGGUAGCGCCUCGUGAAUUCAUCUCCGGGGGUAGAGCACUGUUUCGGCAAGGGGGUCAUCCCGACUUACCAACCCGAUGCAAACUGCGAAUACCGGAGAAUGUUAUCACGGGAGACACACGGCGGGUGCUAACGUCCGUCGUGAAGAGGGAAACAACCCAGACCGCCAGCUAAGGUCCCAAAGUCAUGGUUAAGUGGGAAACGAUGUGGGAAGGCCCAGACAGCCAGGAUGUUGGCUUAGAAGCAGCCAUCAUUUAAAGAAAGCGUAAUAGCUCACUGGUCGAGUCGGCCUGCGCGGAAGAUGUAACGGGGCUAAACCAUGCACCGAAGCUGCGGCAGCGACACUAUGUGUUGUUGGGUAGGGGAGCGUUCUGUAAGCCUGUGAAGGUGGCCUGUGAGGGUUGCUGGAGGUAUCAGAAGUGCGAAUGCUGACAUAAGUAACGAUAAAGCGGGUGAAAAGCCCGCUCGCCGGAAGACCAAGGGUUCCUGUCCAACGUUAAUCGGGGCAGGGUGAGUCGACCCCUAAGGCGAGGCCGAAAGGCGUAGUCGAUGGGAAACAGGUUAAUAUUCCUGUACUUGGUGUUACUGCGAAGGGGGGACGGAGAAGGCUAUGUUGGCCGGGCGACGGUUGUCCCGGUUUAAGCGUGUAGGCUGGUUUUCCAGGCAAAUCCGGAAAACCAAGGCUGAGGCGUGAUGACGAGGCACUACGGUGCUGAAGUGACAAAUGCCCUGCUUCCAGGAAAAGCCUCUAAGCAUCAGGUAACAUCAAAUCGUACCCCAAACCGACACAGGUGGUCAGGUAGAGAAUACCAAGGCGCUUGAGAGAACUCGGGUGAAGGAACUAGGCAAAAAUGGUGCCGUAACUUCGGGAGAAGGCACGCUGAUAUGUAGGUGAAGCGACUUGCUCGUGGAGCUGAAAUCAGUCGAAGAUACCAGCUGGCUGCAACUGUUUAUUAAAAACACAGCACUGUGCAAACACGAAAGUGGACGUAUACGGUGUGACGCCUGCCCGGUGCCGGAAGGUUAAUUGGAUGGGGUUAGCGGCAACGCGAAGCUCUUGAUCGAAGCCCCGGUAAACGGCGGCCGUAACUAUAACGGUCCUAAGGUAGCGAAAUUCCUUGUCGGGUAAGUUCCGACCUGCACGAAUGGCGUAAUGAUGGCCAGGCUGUCUCCACCCGAGACUCAGUGAAAUUGAACUCGCUGUGAAGAUGCAGUGUACCCGCGGCAAGACGGAAAGACCCCGUGAACCUUUACUAUAGCUUGACACUGAACAUUGAGCCUUGAUGUGUAGGAUAGGUGGGAGGCUUUGAAGUGUGGACGCCAGUCUGCAUGGAGCCGGCCUUGAAAUACCACCCUUUAAUGUUUGAUGUUCUAACGUGGGCCCCUUACCGGGGUUGCGGACAGUGUCUGGUGGGUAGUUUGACUGGGGCGGUCUCCUCCUAAAGAGUAACGGAGGAGCACGAAGGUUGGCUAAUCCUGGUCGGACAUCAGGGGGUUAGUGCAAUGGCAUAAGCCAGCUUGACUGCGAGCGUGACGGCGCGAGCAGGUGCGAAAGCAGGUCAUAGUGAUCCGGUGGUUCUGAAUGGAAGGGCCAUCGCUCAACGGAUAAAAGGUACUCCGGGGAUAACAGGCUGAUACCGCCCAAGAGUUCAUAUCGACGGCGGUGUUUGGCACCUCGAUGUCGGCUCAUCACAUCCUGGGGCUGAAGUAGGUCCCAAGGGUAUGGCUGUUCGCCAUUUAAAGUGGUACGCGAGCUGGGUUUAGAACGUCGUGAGACAGUUCGGUCCCUAUCUGCCGUGGGCGCUGGAGAACUGAGGGGGGCUGCUCCUAGUACGAGAGGACCGGAGUGGACGCAUCACUGGUGUUCGGGUUGUCAUGCCAAUGGCACUGCCCGGUAGCUAAAUGCGGAAGAGAUAAGUGACUGAAAGCAUCUAAGCACGAAACUUGCCCCGAGAUGAGUUCUCCCUGACCCUUUAAGGGUCCUGAAGGAACGUUGAAGACGACGACGUUGAUAGGCCGGGUGUGUAAGCGCAGCGAUGCGUUGAGCUAACCGGUACUAAUGAACCGUGAGGCUUAACC
Molecule: ribosomal RNA, 2896 nt
Filed under: Escherichia coli E851/71
Lineage: Bacteria; Pseudomonadati; Pseudomonadota; Gammaproteobacteria; Enterobacterales; Enterobacteriaceae
Description: bacterial LSU rRNA
Rfam family: Bacterial large subunit ribosomal RNA
Source: RNAcentral